RNAcentral lists this ribosomal RNA (460 nucleotides) under uncultured bacterium. RNAcentral's name for it is "partial 16S ribosomal RNA". It matches the Rfam family "Bacterial small subunit ribosomal RNA", at positions 338 to 795 of the family's 1533-position model. The record is from RNAcentral.
CCUACGGGUGGCAGCAGUGAGGAAUAUUGGUCAAUGGGCGCAAGCCUGAACCAGCCAAGUCGCGUGAGGGAAUACGGCCCUACGGGUUGUAAACCUCUUUUGCCGGGGAGCAAGGGCGGGGACGUGUCGCGGCCCGGAGAGUACCCGGAGAAAAAGCAUCGGCUAACUCCGUGCCAGCAGCCGCGGUAAUACGGAGGAUGCGAGCGUUAUCCGGAUUUAUUGGGUUUAAAGGGUGCGUAGGCGGGGUUUUAAGUCAGCGGUAAAAUUUCGGGGCUCAACCCCGUCCGGCCGUUGAAACUGGGGGACUUGAGUGGACGAGAAGAAGGCGGAAUGCGUGGUGUAGCGGUGAAAUGCAUAGAUAUCACGCAGAACCCCGAUUGCGAAGGCAGCCUUCCGGCGUCCUACUGACGCUGAGGCACGAAAGUGCGGGGAUCGAACAGGAUUAGAUACCCCUGUAGUC